Molecule: small nucleolar RNA, 130 nt
Organism: Oryzias javanicus (javanese ricefish)
Lineage: Eukaryota; Metazoa; Chordata; Actinopteri; Beloniformes; Adrianichthyidae
Source: Ensembl
CUGCAUCCACUGAUAGACCUGAAGCAAGCUUCAUUGGCUUCUGUGUUUGCAUAGAGAUGCUAAAGUAAAUUUCCUCUCGCUUUCUGUCUGCUGGUUUAUGGCAGCACAGAUUGAAUUGAGGAAUACAUAU